This 713-nucleotide ribosomal RNA is filed under the name Pseudomonadota bacterium. RNAcentral's name for it is "bacterial SSU rRNA". It matches the Rfam family "Bacterial small subunit ribosomal RNA", at positions 28 to 729 of the family's 1533-position model. The record is from RNAcentral. Lineage: Bacteria; Pseudomonadati; Pseudomonadota.
AUUGAACGCUGGCGGAAUGCUUUACACAUGCAAGUCGAACGGCAGCACGGAGAGCUUGCUCUCUGGUGGCGAGUGGCGAACGGGUGAGUAAUAUAUCGGAACGUGUCCAAUAAUGGGGGAUAACGAGUCGAAAGAUUCGCUAAUACCGCAUACGCCCUACGGGGGAAAGCAGGGGAUCGUAAGACCUUGCGUUAAUGGAGCGGCCGAUAUCUGAUUAGCUAGUUGGUGAGGUAAAGGCUCACCAAGGCGACGAUCAGUAGCUGGUUUGAGAGAACGACCAGCCACACUGGAACUGAGACACGGUCCAGACUCCUACGGGAGGCAGCAGUGGGGAAUUUUGGACAAUGGGGGCAACCCUGAUCCAGCCAUUCCGCGUGAGUGAAGAAGGCCUUCGGGUUGUAAAGCUCUUUCGCAAGGGAAGAAAACUUAUGAUCGAAUAAAUCAUGAGGUUGACGGUACCUUGAUAAGAAGCACCGGCUAACUACGUGCCAGCAGCCGCGGUAAUACGUAGGGUGCGAGCGUUAAUCGGAAUUACUGGGCGUAAAGCGUGCGCAGGCGGUUUUGUAAGUCGGAUGUGAAAUCCCCGGGCUCAACCUGGGAACUGCGUUCGAAACUGCAAGGCUAGAGUGUGUCAGAGGGGGGUAGAAUUCCACGUGUAGCAAGUGAAAUGCGUAGAGAUGUGGAGGGAAUACCAAUGGCGAAAGGCAGCCCCC